RNAcentral lists this non-coding RNA (148 nucleotides) under Homo sapiens (human). The record is from Rfam by way of RNAcentral. Lineage: Eukaryota; Metazoa; Chordata; Mammalia; Primates; Hominidae.
GCCGGGCGUGGUGACGCGCGCCCGUAAUCCCAGCUACUUGGGAGGCUGAGGCAGGAGAAUUGCUUGAACCCUGGAGGCAGAGGUUGCAGUGAGCCAAGAUUACGCCACUGCACUCCAGCCUGGUUGACAGAGUGAGACUCUGUCUCAA